Molecule: non-coding RNA, 191 nt
Filed under: Deferribacteraceae bacterium
Lineage: Bacteria; Pseudomonadati; Deferribacterota; Deferribacteres; Deferribacterales; Deferribacteraceae
Description: 6S RNA
Rfam family: 6S / SsrS RNA
About the family: E. coli 6S RNA was the first non coding RNA to be sequenced, but its function was unknown until recently. It consists of 184 nucleotides that fold into an extended hairpin structure with a large single-stranded internal bulge.
Source: RNAcentral
GAUACCCUGCAGUGUCCGUGUUUGGAUUCAACAGUUUGCAGCCAAUGCUUCUAAUUAAGGGUGUGCUCGUCUCGUGGUGUGCAAGCCUGUCGUAGCGAUACGUAUCAGGAAGCCUGAAGCGAGAGACAAUCACUCUGCCUGUUGUAUACAGGCUCAAAAUGUUCAUUCCACACGGCAUUUGCGGGGUUUUU